GUAGAGGUGGCGAUAGUGUUCAUGGCUAUAUGGGUGAUGAGGAACUGGUGUUGGUUUCGGUUAUAUGGGUGAGAAUGGUGAUGUUGGUGUUGACGAGAGAAUGGUGGUGUUGGUAAUAUGGGUGGAGUAGACGGUGGUGGUGAUGGUAUUGAGAGAAUGGUGUUGCUGGUGUUGGUUAGGUGGGUGAGGAGAGUGUGUCUGGUCAUGCCGGUGAUGGUGGGGGUGGUGGUGUUGAGAAUGGUGUUGCUAGUAUUGGUUAGGUGGGUGAGGAGAGAGCGUUUGGUGAUGCCGGUGAUGGUGGAGGUCUAGAGAGAGUGGAGUUACGUGUGUUGGUCAGAUAGGUGGUGAUGGUUGAGAAAGUGGAGUUCCUUGUGUCGGUCAUAUAGGUGGUGGUGAUGGUCAGAGAGAGUGGAGUUACCUGUGUUGGUCAGAUAGGUGGUGGUGAUGGUCAGAGAGAGUGGAGUUACCUGUGUUGGUCAGAUAGGUGGUGGUGAUGGUCAGAGAGAGUGGAGUUACCUGUGUCGGUCAGAUAGGUGGUGAUGAUGGUCAGAGAGAGUGGAGUUACCUGUGUCGGUCAUAUAGGUGGUGAUGGUGAGCUUGGUCUUGAGUCGGCGUUGAGAGAGGUGUCGUAAGUGUUCCGCCAAGCCCCGCCACCCAGCAGCAGUUGUCGGUAGUGUUGCAGCCUCACAGCCACACACAACACAACACCUGAAUGUCGGUAGCGAUAGCAGAGCAGUGUUCAAACCGUGUACAAAUUGUUAUGCAACUUGUAGAAAUAUCCAUGGUAUUUAGAAUAAAACUCAUUGUGUCAAAUAUACUUGAAAAGUACUACAGCCGUGUUUGUCUACACCCGAAACACACAAAACUGACCCCUACCUAGCUGUCCCUACCCCCUAUGUCGAUGUACGUAGGGGGAAGGGAUGGGAAAAUAUAUAUACCUAUGUUACGAUGUGUUUUAACCCGUCCGAUGCGAUUGUCAGGGAUUUUGCCUUCUCUGGUAGCCUGGUAACAUACACUCCCAGGUCUUUCUCUGCCUCUGUGGUGGAUAAUGGAAUGUUUCCCAUGUGGUAUUGGUGUGCUGGAUAUCCCUUCACUGGUAGCCUGGUAACAUACACUCCCAGGUCUUUCUCUGCCUCUGUGGUGGAUAGUGGAGUGUUUCCCAUGUGGUAUUGGUGUGCUGGAUAUCCCCUCCCAAGGUGCAGGACUUUACAUUUUUCCUCACUGAAUUGUAGCAGCCACUUUUUGUUCCAUU
Molecule: long non-coding RNA, 1252 nt
Organism: Eriocheir sinensis (Chinese mitten crab)
Lineage: Eukaryota; Metazoa; Arthropoda; Malacostraca; Decapoda; Varunidae
Exons: 3
Source: RefSeq, a predicted model, not a curated record